AUUACUCCUACGGGAGGCAGCAGUGGGGAAUUUUGGACAAUGGGCGAAAGCCUGAUCCAGCCAUGCCGCGUGAGUGAAGAAGGCCUUCGGGUUGUAAAGCUCUUUUGUCCGGGAGGAAAUCCCGUAACCUAAUACGUUACGGGGACGACAGUACUGGAAGAAUAAGCACCGGCUAACUACGUGCCAGCAGCCGCGGUAAUAAU
Molecule: ribosomal RNA, 203 nt
Filed under: uncultured bacterium
Lineage: Bacteria
Description: partial 16S ribosomal RNA
Rfam family: Bacterial small subunit ribosomal RNA
Source: RNAcentral